AACGACUUUUUCACGAUAUUCAAAGUGCUCUCAUUCCCUUAGUUCUGCUCGGAUCCUGUUAUAACCCGGUGUUUUCGUAAUCUAGGUGACCCAAAUAAGACGCUGGUAUACUUAGUUUGAUUUCGAAAAAAAUCAAUUUUUGGUGAAAAAAUUCGAUACGGGGGUAUACCCGAAAAAUGAAAAAUUCCAAAUUUUGAAGUUCGAUAUCGCGGCUUCUAUGGGAGCUAUCAGGAAAAUUCCCACGAUUUUGUCUUAGUUUCGUCGUUCUGAAUCCAACGAGACCAUCCGCAAAAUUGUAGCUUUUACGAUAGCCGAGAUAUGGCAUUUUUGAUGCCCAUGUUUGGCCUCAAAAACGGACGUCGAAAACGACUUUUUCAGGAUUUUCAAAGUGCUCUCAUUCCCUUAGUUCUGCUCGGAUCCUGUUAUAACCAGGUGUUUUCGUAAUCUAGGUGACCCAAAUAACACGCCGGUAUACUUAGUUUGAUUUCGAAAAAAAUCAAUUUUUGGUGAAAAAAUUCGAUACGGGGGGGUAUACCCGAAAAAUGAAAAAACCCAAACUUUGAAGGUCGAUAUCUCGGCUUCUAUGGGAGCUAUCGAGCAUAUUCCAACGGUUUUGUCUUAGUUUCGUCAUUCUGAAUCCAACGAGACCAUCCGCAAGGUCGUAGCUCUUACGAUAGCCGAGAUAUGGCAUUUUUGAUGCCCAUUUUUGGCCUCAAAAACGGACGUCGAAAACGACUUUUUCAGGAUUUUCAAAGUGCUCUCAUUCCCUUAGUUCUGCUCAAAUCCUGUUAUAACCCGGUGUUUUCGUAAUCUAGGUGACCCAAAUAACACGCUGGUAUACUUAGUUUGAUUUCAAAAAAAAUCAAUUUUUGGUGAAAAAAUUCGAUACGGGGGGUAUACCCGAAAAAUGAAAAAACCCAAACUUUGAAGGUCGAUAUCUCGGCUUCUAUGGGAGCUAUCGAGCAUAUUCCAACGGUUUUGUCUUAGUUUCGUCAUUCUGAAUCCAACGAGACCAUCCGCAAGGUCGUAGCUCUUACGAUAGCCGAGAUAUGGCAUUUUUGAUGCCCAUUUUUGGCCUCAAAAACGGACGUCGAAAACGACUUUUUCAGGAUUUUCAAAGUGCUCUCAUUCCCUUAGUUCUGCUCGGAUCCUGUUAUAACCCGGUGUUUUCGUAAUCUAGGUGACCCAAAUAACACGCUGGUAUACUUAGUUUGAUUUCGAAAAAAAUCAAUUUUUGGUGAAAAAAUUCGAUACGGGGGGGUAUACCCGAAAAAUAAAAAAAAAACCCAAACUUUGAAGGUCGAUAUCUCGGCUUCUAUGGGAGCUAUCGGGAAAAUUCCAACGGUUUUGUCUUACUUUCGUCAUUCUGAAUCCAACGAGACCAUCCGCAAGGUCGUAGCUCUUACGAUAGCCGAGAUAUGGCAUUUUUGAUGCCCAUUUUUGGCCUCAAAAACGGACGUCGAAAACGACUUUUUCAGGAUUUUCAAAGUGCUCUCAUUCCCUUAGUUCUGCUCGGAUCCUGUUAUAACCCGGUGUUUUCGUAAUCUAGGUGACCCAAAUAACACGCUGGUAUACUUAGUUUGAUUUCGAAAAAAAUCAAUUUUUGGUGAAAAAAUUCGAUACGGGGGGGUAUACCCGAAAAAUGAAAAAACCCAAACUUUGAAGGUCGAUAUCUCGGCUUCUAUGGGAGCUAUCGAGCAUAUUCCAACGGUUUUGUCUUAGUUUCGUCAUUCUGAAUCCAACGAGACCAUCCGCAAGGUCGUAGCUCUUACGAUAGCCGAGAUAUGGCAUUUUUGAUGCCCAUUUUUGGCCUCAAAAACGGACGUCGAAAACGACUUUUUCAGGAUUUUCAAAGUGCUCUCAUUCCCUUAGUUCUGCUCGGAUCCUGUUAUAACCCGGUGUUUUCGUAAUCUAGGUGACCCAAAUAACACGCUGGUAUACUUAGUUUGAUUUCGAAAAAAAUCAAUUUUUGGUGAAAAAAUUCGAUACGGGGGGGUAUACCCGAAAAAUGAAAAAACCCAAACUUUGAAGGUCGAUAUCUCGGCUUCUAUAGGAGCUAUCGGGAAAAUUCCAACGGUUUUGUCUUACUUUCGUCAUUCUGAAUCCAACGAGACCAUCCGCAAGGUCGUAGCUCUUACGAUAGCCGAGAUAUGGCAUUUUUGAUGCCCAUUUUUGGCCUCAAAAACGGACGUCGAAAACGACUUUUUCAGGAUUUUCAAAGUGCUCUCAUUCCCUUAGUUCUGCUCGGAUCCUGUUAUAACCCGGUGUUUUCGUAAUCUAGGUGACCCAAAUAACACGCUGGUAUACUUAGUUUGAUUUAAAAAAAAAUCAAUUUUUGGUGAAAAAAUUCGAUACGGGGGGGUAUACCCGAAAAAUGAAAAAACCCAAACUUUGAAGGUCGAUAUCUCGGCUUCUAUGGGAGAUAUCGAGCAUAUUCCAACGGUUUUGUCUUACUUUCGUCAUUCUGAAUCCAACGAGACCAUCCGCAAGGUCGUAGCUCUUACGAUAGCCGAGAUAUGGCAUUUUUGAUGCCCAUUUUUGGCCUCAAAAACGGACGUCGAAAACGACUUUUUCAGGAUUUUCAAAGUGCUCUCAUUCCCUUAGUUCUGCUCAAAUCCUGUUAUAACCCGGAGUUUUCGUAAUCUAGGUGACCCAAAUAACACGCUGGUAUACUUAGUUUGAUUUCGAAAAAAAUCAAUUUUUGGUGAAAAAAUUCGAUACGGGGGGGUAUACCCGAAAAAUGAAAAAACCCAAACUUUGAAGGUCGAUAUCUCGGCUUCUAUGGGAGCUAUCGAGCAUAUUCCAACGGUUUUGUCUUAGUUUCGUCAUUCUGAAUCCAACGAGACCAUCCGCAAGGUCGUAGCUCUUACGAUAGCCGAGAUAUGGCAUUUUUGAUGCCCAUUUUUGGCCUCAAAAACGGACGUCGAAAACGACUUUUUCAGGAUUUUCAAAGUGCUCUCAUUCCCUUAGUUCUGCUCAAAUCCUGUUAUAACCCGGAGUUUUCGUAAUCUAGGUGACCCAAAUAACACGCUGGUAUACUUAGUUUGAUUUCGAAAAAAAUCAAUUUUUGGUGAAAAAAUUCGAUACGGGGGGGUAUACCCGAAAAAUGAAAAAACCCAAACUUUGAAGGUCGAUAUCUCGGCUUCUAUGGGAGCUAUCGAGCAUAUUCCAACGGUUUUGUCUUAGUUUCGUCAUUCUGAAUCCAACGAGACCAUCCGCAAGGUCGUAGCUCUUACGAUAGCCGAGAUAUGGCAUUUUUGAUGCCCAUUUUUGGCCUCAAAAACGGACGUCGAAAACGACUUUUUCAGGAUUUUCAAAGUGCUCUCAUUCCCUUAGUUCUGCUCAAAUCCUGUUAUAACCCGGAGUUUUCGUAAUCCAGGUGACCCAUAUAACACGCUGGUAUACUUAGUUUGAUUUCGAAAAAAAUCAAUUUUUGGUGAAAAAAUUCGAUACGGGGGGGUAUACCCGAAAAAUUGAUUUGAAGGUCGAUAUCUCGGCUUCUAUGGGAGCUAUCGGGAAAAUUCCAACGGUUUUGUCUUACUUUCGUCAUUCUGAAUCCAACGAGACCAUCCGCAAGGUCGUAGCUCUUACGAUAGCCGAGAUAUGGCAUUUUUGAUGCCCAUUUUUGGCCUCAAAAACGGACGUCGAAAACGACUUUUUCAGGAUUUUCAAAGUGCUCUCAUUCCCUUAGUUCUGCUCGGAUCCUGUUAUAACCCGGUGUUUUCGUAAUCUAGGUGACCUAAAUAACACGCUGGUAUACUUAGUUUGAUUUAAAAAAAAAUCAAUUUUUGGUGAAAAAAUUCGAUACGGGGGGGUAUACCCGAAAAAUGAAAAAACCCAAACUUUGAAGGUCGAUAUCUCGGCUUCUAUGGGAGAUAUCGAGCAUAUUCCAACGGUUUUGUCUUACUUUCGUCAUUCUGAAUCCAACGAGACUAUCCGCAAGGUCGUAGCUCUUACGAUAGCCGAGAUAUGGCAUUUUUGAUGCCCAUUUUUGGCCUCAAAAACGGACGUCGAAAACGACUUUUUCAGGAUUUUCAAAGUGCUCUCAUUCCCUUAGUUCUGCUCAAAUCCUGUUAUAACCCGGAGUUUUCGUAAUCUAGGUGACCCAAAUAACACGCUGGUAUACUUAGUUUGAUUUCGAAAAAAAUCAAUUUUUGGUGAAAAAAUUCGAUACGGGGGGGUAUACCCGAAAAAUGAAAAAACCCAAACUUUGAAGGUCGAUAUCUCGGCUUCUAUGGGAGCUAUCGAGCAUAUUCCAACGGUUUUGUCUUAGUUUCGUCAUUCUGAAUCCAACGAGACCAUCCGCAAGGUCGUAGCUCUUACGAUAGCCGAGAUAUGGCAUUUUUGAUGCCCAUUUUUGGCCUCAAAAACGGACGUCGAAAACGACUUUUUCAGGAUUUUCAAAGUGCUCUCAUUCCCUUAGUUCUGCUCAAAUCCUGUUAUAACCCGGAGUUUUCGUAAUCCAGGUGACCCAUAUAACACGCUGGUAUACUUAGUUUGAUUUCGAAAAAAAUCAAUUUUUGGUGAAAAAAUUCGAUACGGGGGGGUAUACCCGAAAAAUAAAAAAACCCAAACUUUGAAGGUCGAUAUCUCGGCUUCUAUGGGAGCUAUCGGGAAAAUUCCAACGGUUUUGUCUUACUUUCGUCAUUCUGAAUCCAACGAGACCAUCCGCAAGGUCGUAGCUCUUACGAUAGCCGAGAUAUGGCAUUUUUGAUGCCCAUUUUUGGCCUCAAAAACGGACGUCGAAAACGACUUUUUCAGGAUUUUCAAAGUGCUCUCAUUCCCUUAGUUCUGCUCGGAUCCUGUUAUAACCCGGUGUUUUCGUAAUCUAGGUGACCCAUAUAACACGCUGGUAUACUUAGUUUGAUUUCGAAAAAAAUCAAUUUUUGGUGAAAAAAUUCGAUCCCCCCCGUAUCGAAAAAUGAAAAAACCCAAACUUUGAAGGUCGAUAUCUCGGCUUCUAUGGGAGCUAUCGGGAAAAUUCCAACGGUUUUGUCUUACUUUCGUCAUUCUGAAUCCAACGAGACCAUCCGCAAGGUCGUAGCUCUUACGAUAGCCGAGAUAUGGCAUUUUUGAUGCCCAUUUUUGGCCUCAAAAACGGACGUCGAAAACGACUUUUUCAGGAUUUUCAAAGUGCUCUCAUUCCCUUAGUUCUGCUCGGAUCCUGUUAUAACCCGGUGUUUUCGUAAUCUAGGUGACCCAAAUAACACGCUGGUAUACUUAGUUUGAUUUCGAAAAAAAUCAAUUUUUGGUGAAAAAAUUCGAUACGGGGGGGUAUACCCGAAAAAUGAAAAAACCCAAACUUUGAAGGUCGAUAUCUCGGCUUCUAUGGGAGCUAUCGAGCAUAUUCCAACGGUUUUGUCUUAGUUUCGUCAUUCUGAAUCCAACGAGACCAUCCGCAAGGUCGUAGCUCUUACGAUAGCCGAGAUAUGGCAUUUUUGAUGCCCAUUUUUGGCCUCAAAAACGGACGUCGAAUACGACUUUUUCAGGAUUUUCAAAGUGCUCUCAUUCCCUUAGUUCUGCUCGGAUCCUGUUAUAACCCGGUGUUUUUGUAAUCUAGGUGACCCAAAUAACACGCCGGUAUACUUAGUUUGAUUUCGAAAAAAAUCAAUUUUUGGUGAAAAAAUUCGAUACGGGGGGGUAUACCCGAAAAAUGAAAAAUUCGAAACUUUGAAGAUCAAUAUCGCGGCUUCUAUGGGAGCUAUCGGGAAAAUUCCGACGGUUUUGUCUUAGUUUCGUCGUUCUGAAUCCCACGAGACCAUCCGCAAAGUCGUAGCUUUUACGAUAGCCGAGAUAUGGCAUUUUUGAUGCCAAUUUUUGGCCUCAAAAACGGAUGUCGAAAACGACUUUUUCACGAUUUUCAAAGUGCUCUCAAUUCCUUAGUUCUGCUCGGAUCCUGUUAUAACCCGGUGUUUUCGUAAUCUAGGUGACCCAAAUAAGACGCUGGUAUACUUAGUUUGAUUUCGAAAAAAAUCAAUUUUUGGUGAAAAAAUUCGAUACGGGGGGGUAUACCCGAAAAAUGAAAAAUUCCAAACUUUGAAGGUCGUUAUCUCGGCUUCUAUGGGAGCUAUCGGGAAAAUUCCGACGGUUUUGUCUUAGUUUCGUCGUUCUGAAACAUAUGAAAAAAUAAUAAACAAGAGACUUUGGAGCGAGAUAAUUAACAAAAAAAAUGGCAUGCACCCAAACCAAUACGGUUUCAUUAAAGGGAAUUCAACCACGCACGCAAUGAGAAGAGUUAUAGAACUAGCUACGAAAAGACCCGGCAGACACAACGUGCUCAUCUUAAUAGACGUCAAGAAUGCUUUCAAUUGUGCCUCGUGGAAACUCAUUAUAAAAGAACUGCAUAACUGGGAAAUAAGUCCAUACCUAAUAAAUAUAUUAAUCAGCUAUCUUAAUAACAGACGGAUAACCCUGUCUAGAGAGGAUGAAAGGGAGGUAUUCGUAGGGGUACCACAGGGAUCGGUUCUGGGUCCGACUCUAUGGAACGUGCUGUAUGACAGUGUCAUGGAGCUACCGGUCCCCGAGGGAACUGAGCUGGUAUGCUACGCAGAUGACCUUGCGGUGAUCUGCACACAAGAAAACGAAUACGACCUGAUGAAGGCAGCGGAUAUUACGCUAGAUCUUAUUGAAAGUUGGAUGUACAGGCACGACCUUACGGUGGCAACAGAAAAGACCGAGGCAAUUCUAUUAAGCUGCAAAAAAAAAGUUAGCCACAUCAAGUUCUAUUUUGGGGGCACAUAAAUCACUCCCAAAAAAGAAGUGAAAUACCUAGGUUUCCACAUAGAUCGUCCCCUUUUCAUGAAUCGGCACAUAAAAAACGUCUGCCUAAAGGCUCAUCGCACAACAAAAGCUCUGCAAGCAAUCCUACCAAAUAUUGGAGGUCCCUCCUCCUCAAAAAGGAAGGCGAUGGCUUAUGCCUGCGAAAAUACUAUAAUGUAUGGGGCGCCAGCGUGGAGCUCUGCAAUGGCUGUAACGAACAAUAAAAAAAACUACAAAGCUCACAAAGGAUAAUGGUUCUGAUGGUAUAGUCUGCGUACAGAACGGUCUCAACGGAAGCCCUGUUGGUCAUAUCAGGACUGAUACCGUUGCACAUACUGGCAGAAGAAAGAACCCUUCUAUUUCUAAAUAAUGCAAUCACAAAUACUUCAAGGAAAGAAGAAAGGGAGAGAUCAAUGGAAAGAUGGCAGGAAAAAUGGCAAGCAUCUGAGCGGGGACGCUGGACCUACAAACUAAUUCCGGAUUUGAAAACAUGGGUAAAAAGAAGAGAUGGGCAGCUAAGUCACUACCUGACACAAAUGAUUACUGGACAUGGAAGUUUCGGGAGCUAUCUUCAUGAAAUAAAAAAAAAAGAAUACCCAUCAUGCAACUACUGUGAGCACCCAAAUGACACAGCAGAACACACAAUGUUUUGGUGCCCUAGAUGGGAGAAUAAUAGAAAUGCCCUGAACGCAUUUGUGGGGGUAAAUGUAACUGCUAAUAAUUUCUUACAAAUUGCCACCAAGAACAAAAAGAACUACUAUGCAAUAGAUAAAAUGGCGACGGAUAUCCUAUCCCAGAAAUACAGGGAGGAACAACGAUAAUAAAUUAAAGGAAAAAGAAAAAAAAUAGAGGGACAUAUCCGGCAUCUACCUGAGGAAAUGCGUUCUGCGGGUCCGGGAAGCUGUGGCAGGAAAAAGAGGAAAGGAAUGGGUUGGGUUGGGUUGGGUUGGGUUGGCAGAGGCACAGGCUGGAGCUUCAACUGGGCGAAACUCCCACGCCCGAGAAUAUAAUUGCGCUAAUGACGAGCGACGAAGGCAAAUGGCGACACAUACACAACUACAUAAAGGAGAUUAUGAAGCAAAAAGAAGAAGAAGAAAGGAUAUAUGCACAAGAAGCCAGAAACCAAGAUAGUGAAUAGAAUCACGACACGGCAUUGGUGGUGAUGCAUGCGUUCCAUUGUGAUCCCGCCCCCGAUGCUAGCAGCAGUCAACAGUCGGUUUUUAGUGGGUAGGACCAGUUUGGAGGAGUCUCACACUCACUGCAGUAGUGCAACUGCAGUGGUGAGUGCGUAAAUGCAUUUUCCGACUAUAAACAAAAAAAAAAAGGGUUGGGUUUGGUUUCUAGAGGAUCUCCAACUACAAUCUCCGUUUUAACAAAUACAUCUUUCCCCCAUUUUUUGAGAGAUAGUUCCUUAAAAUUCUCAUAGGAUCUAACUUUCUCGAUUUCCUUUUUGUUAAUUUCUUCUACCAUUCCAAUCUCGACGCGACGCCAUACACAUAAGAGACAUGGAUAUAAGCACCACGGAAGAAGAAGUAAUUAUGGCAAUAAAGGAUAUAUUGGGUGAAGAGCAUGCGAAUAACUCCAGGGUGGGCCGACUCCGACCUACUGCAGAGCCAGGAUAUGGGCAAUGAAAGCCAAUCGUGAGGACCUAUUGGAAAAACUUUCGGACUUAUAUAAAAGCUAUCGGUUAUGCGAAAAUCAUUUUGGAGAAAAUAUGUUUACAAGUCACCUUCAUACUGGAUUGAUAGCUACUGCAACGCCAACUCUAUUUCCGUUUAUUGAAGGCAGUUCUAAAACUGCAGUACAUGAUCAUUCCUAUAGUGCACCUCCCUUUUUUAAAUUUUAAAUAUUUCUAUAUUAGUUAAGGUUAUUGUUUUCUUAAAAAAGAUAGAGACAUCUGUAAAGAUCUUUAGGCAUGAUUUAAAAUAGGCAAUAAAAUGUGUUAAAACUCUAAA
Anthonomus grandis grandis is the source of this 8714-nucleotide long non-coding RNA. RefSeq lists it as uncharacterized. Lineage: Eukaryota; Metazoa; Arthropoda; Insecta; Coleoptera; Curculionidae. The transcript is spliced from 10 exons. The record is from RefSeq and is a predicted model, not a curated record.